UACGGAGGGUGCAAGCGUUGUCCGGAAUCACUGGGCGUAAAGGGCGCGUAGGCGGCUCGGUAAGUAGGGGGUGAAAUCCUGCGGCUUAACCGCAGGGCUGCCUUCUAAACUGUCGAGCUUGAGCACGGUAGAGGCAGAUGGAAUUCCCGGUGUAGCGGUGGAAUGCGUAGAGAUCGGGAAGAACAUCAGUGGCGAAGGCGGUCUGCUGGGCCGUUGCUGACGCUGAGGCACGAAGGCCAGGGGAGCAAACGGG
RNAcentral lists this ribosomal RNA (253 nucleotides) under uncultured bacterium. Its description in RNAcentral is "partial 16S ribosomal RNA". It matches the Rfam family "Bacterial small subunit ribosomal RNA", at positions 524 to 776 of the family's 1533-position model. The record is from RNAcentral.